CUGGGGCAGAGGGAGUUCCUGCAGCUCCUUCCUCCAGCUGCAGCCGGGGAGCUUUGAUUUCUGUCAGUUCUGAACCACCAUCAAAGGGUGGAGAACUCGUUUCUGCUUUAACUGUAGCCAAGGUGUGAUUGCAGGGGGAGCUGUAAACACAGCACUAUUUCUGCAGUGAGAAUACAACACGGAUCUCAGCUUUUGCAUGAGGGAUGCCCUAGAUCUGGCUGCAUCAGACCCUAGCUGCCAGCAGCAAUCCUGACCAGCCGUGAGAGCAGAGGCAUUAAGCCCGACCCUGCAUUCCCACCCUCGUCUGCUGCACACGCUGCCUGUGAGGCCAACAGGAUGCGAGGUGUGCCAGUGGGUCCUUGGGCAUCGCUGCCAGGCUUGGCCACUUCCAGACUGCAGCAAAAUUCCUCAGCCUGUCUCCGUGCAAACACAAUUACUGUCAUUAAAUCCACACUGUGAUACACAAUGUCUUGGCGAUGCUCCCCGACGAGCCCGUGCACUGAACUGAAUGACUCCUACUGCAGCUAAAUACUGUACUCGUCUGUUAAGAAGACGCCGCGCAUUUGGCUCCUACUGGUGAUGAGCGGUCUGUGGAGCAGCCUGAUGG
This 607-nucleotide long non-coding RNA is filed under the name Numida meleagris (helmeted guineafowl). RNAcentral's name for it is "lncRNA (ENSNMEG00000020317.1)". The record is from RNAcentral. Lineage: Eukaryota; Metazoa; Chordata; Aves; Galliformes; Numididae.